UACGAAGGGGGCUAGCGUUGCUCGGAAUCACUGGGCGUAAAGCGCACGUAGGCGGAUCUUUAAGUCAGGGGUGAAAUCCUGGAGCUCAACUCCAGAACUGCCUUUGAUACUGAGGAUCUCGAGUCCGGGAGAGGUGAGUGGAACUGCGAGUGUAGAGGUGAAAUUCGUAGAUAUUCGGAAGAACACCAGUGGCGAAGGCGACUGACUGGACAAGUAUUGACGCUGAGGUACGAAAGCGUGGGGAGCAAACAGG
Molecule: ribosomal RNA, 253 nt
Filed under: uncultured bacterium
Lineage: Bacteria
Description: partial 16S ribosomal RNA
Rfam family: Bacterial small subunit ribosomal RNA
Source: RNAcentral